GCAGCCGCGGUAAUUCCAGCUCCAAUAGCGUAUAUUAAAGUUGUUGCAGUUAAAAAGCUCGUAGUUGAAUUUCGGGAUCAUCAGGUUGGUCGUGCCUCCGGUAUGUACUUGCUUCGGUGGUCCCUCCUUCUUGAAGAACCGUAAUGCCAUUAAUUUGGUGUUGCGGGGAAACAGGACUGUUACUUUGAAAAAAUUAGAGUGUUUAAAGCAGGCAAUCGCUUGAAUACAUUAGCAUGGAAUAAUGAAAUAGGACGUUCGAUCUUAUUUUGUUGGUUUCUAGGAUUGACGUAAUGAUUAAUAGGGAUAGUUGGG
This 312-nucleotide ribosomal RNA is filed under the name uncultured Glomus. RNAcentral's name for it is "SSU rRNA". It matches the Rfam family "Eukaryotic small subunit ribosomal RNA", at positions 570 to 886 of the family's 1831-position model. Lineage: Eukaryota; Fungi; Glomeromycota; Glomeromycetes; Glomerales; Glomeraceae. The record is from RNAcentral.